Molecule: ribosomal RNA, 273 nt
Filed under: uncultured eukaryote
Lineage: Eukaryota
Description: partial 18S ribosomal RNA
Rfam family: Eukaryotic small subunit ribosomal RNA
Source: RNAcentral
AAAAAAAAUGAGUAAAAAGCUCGUAGUUGGAUUUCUAGAUAAGUGGGUACUUGUACUUUGCUUGUCUACCAGUCUUAGACUGUUACUGUGAGAAAAUUAGAGUGUUUCAAGCAGGCUGUUGCAGGAAUACAUUAGCAUGGAAUAACGAAUGUGUCUGGAAUAUUGGUUAAUUCUAGAUUACGAUUAAUAGGGACAGUUGGGGGCAUUAGUAUUUAAUUGUCAGAGGUGAAAUUCUUGGAUUUAUUAAAGACUAACGUAUGCGAAAGCAUUUAC